GACAGAGGGUGCAAACGUUGUUCGGAAUUACUGGGCGUAAAGCGCGUGUAGGCUGCUCGGAAAGUCAGAUGUGAAAGCCCUGGGCUUAACCUGGGAAGUGCAUUUGAUACUGCGUUGCUGGAGUGCGAGAGAGGAAAGUGGAAUUCCAGGUGUAGGAGUGAAAUCCGUAGAUAUCUGGAGGAAUACCGAUGGUGAAGACAACUUUCUGGCUCGUAACUGACACUGAGAUUCGAAAGCUUGGGUAGCAAACAGG
Molecule: ribosomal RNA, 253 nt
Filed under: uncultured bacterium
Lineage: Bacteria
Description: partial 16S ribosomal RNA
Rfam family: Bacterial small subunit ribosomal RNA
Source: RNAcentral